AAAGAAUGUUGCAGACAUACUGCAGCUUGAAACCAACGAGCUACAAAGUCUGAAGCUACAGCAUGACCAGAAGGUGGUGGAGCUGGAGAAGACUCAGGUCGACCUGCUGGAGGGGAAGCUAGAGCUAGAGAGUUUGCAGCAGACAGCUCAGCAGCAGAGACGGGAGCUAGAGCGGCAGAGACAACUCCUGGAGAGAGACAGGCGGGAGACAGAGCGAGUGAGGGCUGAGACCCAGGCACUACAGUCCUGCAUCGAAUGUCUGAAUAAAGAAAAGGAACAUCUCCAAGAGCAGUGCGAGAGUUGGGAAAAGAAGUCUUCCCACGCCAAAAGAGUUUUAGCAGCUACCGAGGAAAGCAACAACACGGAGCAGUCCAAGCUGGGGCAGCUGGAAGUGAGCGUCAGGAAGCUGCAGCAGGAGCUGGAGCUCCUGAGCCAAGACAAGCUCGCCCUACACAGUGAUAGCGCCCAGGAGCAACAGCAGCUGCAAG
This 488-nucleotide long non-coding RNA is filed under the name Rattus norvegicus (Norway rat). RNAcentral describes it as "long non-coding RNA NONRATT018064". The record is from RNAcentral. Lineage: Eukaryota; Metazoa; Chordata; Mammalia; Rodentia; Muridae.